UAAGGGGGCAUCCAGCAUACUUUUAGUUUUAACUUGAAGAAAUUAGAAUUUAAUUUGGUCACAUGUUUACAUGACCUAAAAUGAAGACGAUAUAUUCCAAGGCUGAAAAUUAACCAAACGUAAGAAUUAAUAUAUGUGUAUUUCCAUUAAAAAAAAAAAAAGUAAACAGAAGGCCAACUCAUGUAGUCCUGAACGGGAAAUUUUAAAGGUAACAACUUUAAUUUUUUAAUCAAUCCAUUCAUUAAGACAUCGAUUCAAAAAAUACCUACUGAAUCCCUACUAAUGUGUCAGGUCAAGAGGCAGCAAUGAGGGAGAGAGAAUCUUUACUCCUACAGAGUAUAUAGUUUAUUGUGAGAAACGGAUAUCGUCAAAUAAUCAUACACCUAAACGCGAAAGAGAGACGGAACCGUUACAAACGUGAGACUCUGGUGCAGCAUAGGUUUACUGUAUUCAGAACCCACCCGGUUGAGGAGCUUGGGGAUAAUAUCCCUCAAAUAUGAGCUUUGCAAGAUGAGGUUCGUUUUGAGUUUUAUCCACCGAGACGUGUGUUCAUUUCACGCCUAGAACAGGACUGGCACAACCUGGGCGUCUGAUGGGUAGGUGUUAAGUGGUCUGAAUGAGCGAAAAGCGCAGUGCAGAAGCAAAGGGCACCUCGGAUAGCAGCAGGCGAAUGCUGAGGCUCAGCCAUCUUAGUUCUUAGCUGUCAUAGUGCUUCACAGGAAGGAGCAGCAUGACAGCUAAGACCCGAAAAGCAGAAAAACGAAAAGCAGAGCGGUGAAUGCGAGAUGAGGCUAGGGCCAUGCUUUUAAAAAUAACUGCAAUAAAGAGUUUGGCUGGCUUUUGUCCCCAGUUCCUAAGAAAGAGGGAACCUCUAAACUUUUAGAAUUUCCUGAGUGAUUUGAGUGUCUUUGUUAUUCAUGGAAAGGCCCUCAAACCACAAGACAGUUUCUGCUCGGGCGAUGACUCAGGAGAGGAGCGGGCCAGCCAGAAAGACCAACCAUGUGACUAGGAGACUGGGGCUUUGAACCAUAUGAUAUCAGUCUGACCUCCAGGGAGUAGAGGAGGCUGGAGACUGAGUUCAAACCCAAAUCAGUCAUGUCUGUGGAAUACAACCCGAAUCGAAACUCUGGACAGGAAGCUCAAGGAAGAUUCCCUGCUUGACGCUACUCUCUGGGCACCGUCGUACCUCGAUACCGAGAGGGUGCUGCACCCCGGAGGACGACAGAAGGUCCAGCUGCUCUGCUCACCUUACUAACACUGUGACCCCCACACCGUCCACCCUCCUUAUUCUACUUCCUUAUUUGGACAGAACUGUCUUCUACUACAUAUUUCCUCCACUAGGAUGUAAACUCCACGAGAGCAAGGAUUUUCGUUUGCUUUGUUCACUGCUGAACGCCCAGGGCCUGGAACAGCGCGUUGCACACAGCAGCCAUGUAACAGAUAUUCCUUGAAUGGAUGGAUUAAUGACUGAGUGGUUACUAGGCAGUUGGAUAAACAUGUCUGGAGCUCACAUGAGGCCUAAAAUGGAGACACACCUUUAUGUCACCUGUUUAUAGGUAAAAAUAGGGUCCAUGGGCUUAUAUGGAGUUUAGCCGAGGGAGAAAAAUGUAGGAUGAGAAGAGGCCCUAGGACCAGAUAUGGAGGAACCUCAACACUGAUGGCGAGGCAGAGGAGGAUGAGUCCGCAAAACAAACCAGAAGGAGCAAGUAGAGGUAGAAGGAACCAGAGGAGGGAUUCAAGAAAGCCCAGUGCUGCCGACAGCUCAAAGAAGAGGAAGAUCGAAAAAUGCCCAUUACGAUUAGCAACAGAGGUUACUGGGGACUUUAAGAGCCAACUCCAUCAGCUGGCUGAGACUAUAUGGGGAGAAAGCAAGACAUGCAUAGUUUGGGCCUCCGUGGACCUUACCUAAGUAAGGUAAGCAGAAAUAUGACGCAUACCAUCGCAAUGAGAACUACAGAGUCCUAUGGAAACAUAUAAUACAGUGAAUUAAUCUAAUCCGGGAAGCUGAAGGAAGCUAAUUAAACUAUCAUUUGUUUUUAAUCAUCCCUCAAAAAGGUACUUCUUUGGUAUUUUGGCAGUAGGAAAGGCACAGAUUAAGUUGGCUGUAUAUAACUUACAUUCUCAUUUGUUUUUUACGGUUGUCAUACGUAACCCAGAUGAGAACCUCGGGUUCUUAAGAUUAAAACAAACAAACAAACAAACAAAAACACUAGAUCUACCUCUAAACACUCUUUUUCAAUCUUGAAAAGCAAAGCUGAACGCUAUAAAACGUCUAUCCACUUAGUCACGAAGUCUCCUUUUUUAAAAGCAAGCACCUUAUUCCAAGAGUAUGGUAAAACUGUUAGAAUUGGUUUGCCCACAUGUGGAUUAAUCAGAAGCCAAACAUCUUCUGUAACAACCACAUAUGUUAAAGUCUAAUAUAAAAUCAUACUCCUAAUAAGAAUUUUAUUUACUAAAAUGGAGAUCUAAAUAUACAGAAAUUACAUUUUACUUGCAUAAUUGGCAGAAUUCUUUGGAGCAAUACUUUGCUCAAAGUACAAAGGGAAAAACAAUAUGUACAAUGUAUAACUCAGUUUCAGAGAUAUACAGUUACAGGCUAUAAAAAUGUCAUAAUUUGAAACCGAAAAGAGUAAGAAUAGUUAUUUUAAGCACAGUAAUCCAGGAAAAGUCUAGGAGUGUUUUCUAAAGAUCUUAUAAAAUAAUUAAGUUAUUUAUUAAAAGGAGUAUGGUAUCGGGGAAUUUCUGGGUGCUUAUAAAUGGAGUCCUGAGUUGUAUUAGUAAUAAUCGCAUAGUCAUAAAACUUUGUUAUUAUUGUAGACAUUUCACCUUCUAAAUAUAUUUCAUCAGUCAAGUCUUUCCCUUUAAACGUUGUUGGCCCUUUUCUCUCCCGUUUCCAAAAUGAUACAUCCUAGUUCAGAAUUUUUUCACCUUACAUUUUCCCAGCACUGAUUUUGGACUCAGAGAGAUCUGGGUUCAAGUCCCAAACCCACCACCUCUUACAGUGAUGGCCAAGUGACCUUGGGCACGCUGUUCAACAGAUCAGGCCUCAAUUCCAAAAUGACAAUACUUCCCACAACCGCCCGCUUUCUUGGUCUCUACCCUGUGCCUUUCCAAUCCCCGCCAUCCUCCGUAAGCCUACAUAUAAGUCUUAGCUAAAAGACCAAGUUCUCUGUCAAGUGUGACAAGCUCUCCAUCGCCUUAACAAAGCCUAACCACAAUUUUCCCCUCACGAUUCACUUGGCAGUAAACCAUGCACCAUCUUGUGAUCGCCCCUGCCCUGCUGACUCAAACUAAUUGAACUGUUUUUGUUUUUAACUUUAGGUAGGCCCCCUGAGGACACCGGCUGCAUCUCAUUUCUUUAAAAAAAAAAAAAACAUUUCCCAAGAAGUCACCCUGGGCCAAGGCCUAGGGAUGCGCAGAGGAGAAAGAGGGUUCUUAUUCCUGAGGAGCUCAAGCGAGGCCCAGUGGGGCAGCGGACCAGUGAAUUACAAAUGAGUUUAAGAAACGGUAUCGUUCCCAAAGGCAGACCUGCUUUUCCCAUGUCCAUUAUCGAUGACUUCGAAGAGCUGGUUGAGAAGGCAGCGCUGUACUAGGGGAGGCCACGUGGAGACAUGCCAGCGUGCCGUGGCAGAUGCUACAAAGUCCACGUGUCUGGCAACGAUGGGAAAAUGAAGAUUAAUACUUCUCGGAGCCCAGCUAACAGAAUGAAAAAUAAAUAAAGACGACUCUGCAUGUCAACUUAUAAGGAUCAGACACCCACUUCCUCAAUGGACAAAGAGAUAAAGAAGUUAGAUUCCUGCCAGCGCGUUUCGUCACUGCGUUCGUAGAUCCUUCUCACAAUCGCCGAUGUGGAUGGGCUUCCUCUCUGUGCUCGGCAUCGCUUUCCUGGGAAGUGCCAGGUGAUAAGACAAGCAGAACGGUUACUGAGAUGGACAGGCAAAGCGAAGGGACUCCCCGUUUCUCCUCUUUCACCAGCGGAAUGAGCAGCUCAGGAACAGCAACUAUGGAUGAAAACUUAAUUGCCAAGUACACCCCACGGCUUAUUUGUGGAGGGAAAUGUUCGUGACCUUUUGACCUUUCCGAUAGCUGGCGAAAGCGAAUCGGAGUGUCUGGAAAUGGGAUUGACCUGUGACAACAAUAUGAUUACUCAGCGGUGCGUUAUCGAAUUAUAAAUAAACGCAUGUGUAUUGGAUAUCGGUAUUAUUGGGAAUAACAACAUCAACAGCAGUAACGACACCUGUAAGACACAGAUUUUAAUUUUCCGACCAAAAUAACGUUUUCCAUUACUGUCGUCCAUUUUUUACUUUGUCAGUGAAGACGAGUUAAAGGAGAGUGAAUCGCACUGGGUGAUUAGGCCCGUUGCUGAAAUCCCAUUUGCAGUUCUGGCUGUGAAGGUGACAGAGGCGGCCACCUUGCGGUGUUCAGCUGGUCAGCCCCUCAGCCUUCCACAUCCCAUCUCGGAUCCGAUGGGUCAUCACAUCCUCGCUGUGCACGGAUCAGUGACGAUGCCACAGAUGUGACGCCCUUCCCUGCAGGCCGUGUUUGUCUCUCCAAACGUGCUGGUUCAGACCUUGUCGUCUUCAGAUUUAUUCCUCGUCCUCCCCUGCUCUGCUUUGCUUUGCAGAAAAACUGCCCCCCCUGCAGGCUGGGUUUCCCAGGCCUCUAAGUCGACCAGUUGCCUUCUGGACUCAGCCCUCGAGAAAUAAACACCAGUAGCAACCUGGAGGAUGCAAGGAAGGGCGGGCAGGUCACGGAAACUCUGUCUCUGCCUCCGGUGGCAUCUCUCCAGCAGCGGCAGCUCUUCUGCCGGCUUGAUGGGCUCCCCACGCUCCCUGCAUCCAGCUCAGAGGUGGCGGCACCUUCUCACCCGUGCUAAUUUCUAGGUUGCCUCAUCAUCUCAUUAGACUGUCACCAACAUAACCAGCUCCCUACGCGAAGGUCCUACCGUUCUAAAUACUCAGUGCUUUGUAUUCCCCGACAGGCCAGGACUGAGAUGCCAGACUAAAAAUCGCAGUCUCCUGAGGCUAGAUCCAUUUUUCCUUCAUUUCAGAUGCUCAUUUCUCAACAUUUUUUUAUCACAUCUUUUUGAUGCAGGACUCCAUAAAAUAUGGGGUUUUUCUCUUUUCCUCUUUUAAAGAACGUUUUGGGUUUGCGAGAAGAGAAAGAAGCAGCAUGGGGGGAGGGCAGCUGUGUAUAAGGCACUAGCUCAUCGUCUGUAUCCUGGGGUUCCCCUUUUUCUACACAGCAGGGCACGCAUUCUUGAUGAAGUCACACACACCCAGGGACAUGAUGUCAUCUUGCUUAUUGUGUUACAGACAGGUUUAAUAGUGCAUCGUUGCGUCUUAAACCCCGUGAUGGAACACACUCUUCUCCAGCAGCCAACCCCAGCAUCCAUCUGGUAGACAUGUUAGUCACCGACCCCAAGAGCUCAGCGUGUUUCUCCCCAUUGAGAGAGAACAGAAAUGACUCUCGCAGAUUUAAAGCUCAGUUUUACAACGCACCGAUGACGUCAUCAUCACGAGUGCUUUUUUUCUUUGUCUCUUCUUUCUCUGCCUUUUUAUUUUUUGCUUCCUCUCUCUUCCCCCUCCUUUCUGCGCUUCUCAGACCUCACCUGAGAUCAAAUAGCGUAACAGAGGGACACGCGUAUGCUGGAAAAUCAUUGGCAUCUGUCAUAGGCCAAACAAUCUGGAAGCUUUUCUACCACCGUCCACCCAAGGGCUUAACAGCUGCAUGGAAGGAUCAGGCACCAUAUCUCAAGGAAACCUUGCCUAUUGUGGGAGACCCAUGACUUCUAAUGUGGUAAAGAAAGUGCCCCCCGUUGGUUUUAUUAAUUGCCUUCCACCCACUUUUCCAAUCUGGAAGCUACAGAAUCAUUUUGACCGCUCUCUUCCCUCCCCAUCCCUACCCAAUGACAGUGUGUGCUCGCUCUCUAUUUCCAGUCUUGCUAAUUACUCCCACAGCCGACCCAGUGACAGCCAAUGGUCUGGCCACGCUCACCGUUUCCUGAAUUCUCCAUGGAAGCAUUCGCAUCUCUCUUGUUGUUUCUGUUUUUGUUGUUCUUCCUUAGCCCUUUCACAGCUUGGAAAAAACCCGACUUAUAAUUCAAAGUCCUUCGCAAAUGUCCCUUUCUCUGCGAAUAUCCCAGAUCGCACACAGAAUUGAUCUCGAAGUAAAUAUAUAUGUAUAUAUAAACUCCCAAGGAUAAGGGGAACAAGAGAGAAGAAAAUUCUGCAAGCUGGAAAGUAGAUAGAUAAACAGUAAAUGAGUUAGAUACCCGAGGAAAAGAAAGACUAAGCCAGCAUGGAGAAAACUGAAAACAAACCCAGAUUUAUAGUACAUAAUCUCCAAAGGCUCAAAAUUUGGCCUCAUCUGGUACCUUGAGAAGUAGGAGUAGAAGGGAGUGGAUAAAUUUUAAAAAUCGGUUGGAAGCAUUUUUUAUAAGAAACGGGCAGAUCGCCAGUUCCCUGGCUCACUAUGCCAGACUGUUCCACCCCAGUUUAUUGUCUAGAAAGAGCAGCAGGCACAGCUGAUGGUGCAGAUGUCUUACUUUAAAAAAUGGUGCAGUGCACGCUAAAAGCAAACACCCUCUCUCUGUGUGUCCUCUUGGCUCUCAGAACACUAGCUGCUGGGCAUGACAUUUAAAAAAAAAAAAAAAAUCUUCCAUGGGAAAUAUUUCUUUGCCAAAAAGAAGGAUAGAAAGAAAUUGACAGCAGAGAUUCUCCAUUAAAACCACCCAGCCAAAUCACUCUACAGUAAAACUGACGGUUAACAGUCCUCGUUCAUGCUCUUGGAACAGCAAAUCAGCUUCUGAGUGCCCUGCUCUUACACGCGAAAAUUGCCAGACCCCGGAGGAGAGCGUCCAACACGGAAAAUGCAGAACCAAGAAGAACCCAUGCUCCUCCCCCAAUCCAUCACACAAAGCAACUCGGCUAAGACGAUGAUUUGCAGAGAAAAGAAGACUUCGAUAUCUAGAACUUUUUAUUGCUGUUAUCAGGGAGAUAAAAUAUAAAUGCAACCAUGCAAUGAGAAUCAGAGAUUAUUUUUUAAAGGAAGGAAGACGUUGUUAGUAGAAGAGAAAUGUAUGAACAUCAUAGGACUAGGACGAGUAGUCCAAAAUCCAAACAAAAAACGGGAGUUCCAGAGAGAAUAGAGAUAUGGAGAGGAGGAAAACAUCAAUAAAAUUAUUCAAGAAAACUUUCCAAAAUGGAAAGACCAGAUUGAAACAGCUUACCAAAUACCCAGUUAAGGAAAUAUGAGUAGACUCCUAUGAAAGUAAAUCAUCGUGAAAUUUCAACAGAGAGAACUUAAAGGUUUUCAACGAUGAAAAAGAAAAAUAGGUCAUAUACAAAGGAUCAGGAAUCAGCCAGACUUUAGACUUCUCGGCAACCCCGAGAGGUCAAAGGCAAUAAAGCAAAGCCUGCAAAUUCUGAAGGGAAAUGAUCUCCAACCUAGAUGUCUAGACCCCGAUAAACCGUCAAUCAAAUACAAGGGUAAGAUAAAGAUAUUAUCAGGUCAACGACAUCUCGAAUAUUUAUCUCGCAGUUUCUCUUGCAUGGAAAAUAACUAGAUCAUGUGAUCAUCCAAGAAAGGUUAUUAACUAAGAGAAGACAUGGCAUCCAGGAAGUGGGAAACUCAAACAGGAAAAAGGCAAAGGAAUUUUCAAGAUGGCCGGGCAAAGAGAUGCCAGGAUGGAGCUAUGCCCUAGGAACAUGGCGACCACCAGUCCAGUUCGAGGAGCUCAGAAGGCUUGGGAAGAAAUUCUGGAAGAUGAGAUUGAAUGGCAAUCAACUGGCCCUGAAUGUCUUAAGAAAAAAAUUCAGACAAAUGACAAAGUGUUUGAGGUUGAAUUAGUAACAAGUACAUAUAAAACGAAGUAAAUUUAGAAAUGAGCAAAAAAAAGUAAUUCUAGGGAAAAUUACAAGUUGUGCAGAAAAGGAAAUGUAAACAGAUUUUACAUGACUCAUCUAUGAAAACGAUUUUCAUAGCCAUGAUAACAGAAUAUUUGCUUUAACCGGAAAUGCAACAUAAUGUUAUGGAGAGGCUGGCGGGCAGAAGGGUACACACGUGCAGUGAAAGGAAUAGGGCAAAGUCUCCUCUUUCCUAAGGGAAAGCCAAUAGAUUAAUUCUAAAACUGAAAAAUCAAGAAGUAGCAAUGCAACCGUGCCAUUAAAGACAUGGAAAUAAGCAGUACGAUAAUCAGCUAAAAGAAGUGACAGUGGCUAUCUCUGGGGAAAGAAAAACUCUACAGGACAAGAGCUACAAGAUGCUGGCACUUUUUUCUAAACGAUUUUUUUUUUUUUUUUUUUUUGGUAAAUCUUACAGAACUACGAGGAUGCUUAAAAUCUGUGAGCUAUAACAUUGGUCAAAAAAAAUCCCUGUCAGGCAAAGUUAAUUGCUCAUUCUUCCCUUGCGCAACUAAUGUCCCAUGAAUCAUGCUGCUUCAUGGCUACCUUUGUUUCUGUCAGCCUAUAAACCCUGAGCUCUUUUAGGCAGGACCUUCUCGUAUUCAUAUUUGUUUCCUGGCUCACCACAGAGCUGACAUUCAACAAACAUUUCUGAAAAGACUUAAAGAAUUAUUGGCCCUAAUUCCCCCACAUGGUAUUAUAGAAAUCGAGUCUAAGCCCUCUUUCAAAUAAAAAACUACCAAGUAUAGCCAUGCACAAUAUAAAAAUGUUUUUGUCAACAACAGACUGGGUAUAUGAUGGUGGUCCCAUAAAAUUAUAACGGAGUUGAAAAAUGCCUCUCGCCCAGUGAUGAUAUAAUGUUGUAGCGUGAAAGUACCAUAACCAUAUUUUUACUGUAUCUUUUCUAUGUUUAAAUGCACAAGUACUUACCAUUGUGUUACGGUUGCCUACAAUAUUCAAUACAGCCGCAUGCUAUGCAGGUUUGUAACCUAGGAGCAAUCGGCCGUAUCAUUCGGAUGAUAGGUAUUCCCUUUGUCUACAAAGAUACCAUGAAAAUCCUUGUCAAAUGCCUUGUCCAAGUAGCAAAAACUAUAACAAAAAUGAACAUUUAUCAUAUAUGUGCCAGACAGUAUGCUUAGAACAAAUAAUGUCAAUUUACAUAUUAAAGCUCAUUAAGUUUUUACAACUCUUACAACUACUGUAUUUUUCUGAUCUACCAAUCUAGUAAUACCAUCUUUUUGCUGCAUAUAUUUGUCAAAUGAAUUAAAUGCAUAUUGUCUUUUUAUACCUUCUCUUGGAAAGAAGUCUGUUCAACGUUCCCAAAAAUCCUGCGGUUUUUCAGAUUUUAGCGUUUUUGACACAAAACUUUCCUAAUAAAUUUAAUUAUCUAA
Molecule: long non-coding RNA, 9295 nt
Organism: Pteropus alecto (black flying fox)
Lineage: Eukaryota; Metazoa; Chordata; Mammalia; Chiroptera; Pteropodidae
Exons: 7
Source: RefSeq, a predicted model, not a curated record